This 76-nucleotide transfer RNA is filed under the name Hollardia hollardi. Its description in RNAcentral is "tRNA-Lys". It matches the Rfam family "tRNA". From Rfam's summary of the family: Transfer RNA (tRNA) molecules are approximately 80 nucleotides in length. Their secondary structure includes four short double-helical elements and three loops (D, anti-codon, and T loops). Lineage: Eukaryota; Metazoa; Chordata; Actinopteri; Tetraodontiformes; Triacanthodidae. The record is from RNAcentral.
CGCUAAGAAGCUAAAUAGGGCACAUAGCAUUAGCCUUUUAAGCUAAAGACUGGUGACUCCCAAUCACCCUUAGUGA